GGCGAACGGGUGAGUAACACGUGGGUAACCUGCCCAUCAGAAGGGGAUAACACUUGGAAACAGGUGCUAAUACCGUAUAACAAUCGAAACCGCAUGGUUUUGAUUUGAAAGGCGCUUUCGGGUGUCGCUGAUGGAUGGACCCGCGGUGCAUUAGCUAGUUGGUGAGGUAACGGCUCACCAAGGCCACGAUGCAUAGCCGACCUGAGAGGGUGAUCGGCCACAUUGGGACUGAGACACGGCCCAAACUCCUACGGGAGGCAGCAGUAGGGAAUCUUCGGCAAUGGACGAAAGUCUGACCGAGCAACGCCGCGUGAGUGAAGAAGGUUUUCGGAUCGUAAAACUCUGUUGUUAGAGAAGAACAAGGAUGAGAGUAACUGUUCAUCCCUUGACGGUAUCUAACCAGAAAGCCACGGCUAACUACGUGCCAGCAGCCGCGGUAAUACGUAGGUGGCAAGCGUUGUCCGGAUUUAUUGGGCGUAAAGCGAGCGCAGGCGGUUUCUUAAGUCUGAUGUGAAAGCCCCCGGCUCAACCGGGGAGGGUCAUUGGAAACUGGGAGACUUGAGUGCAGAAGAGGAGAGUGGAAUUCCAUGUGUAGCGGUGAAAUGCGUAGAUAUAUGGAGGAACACCAGUGGCGAAGGCGGCUCUCUGGUCUGUAACUGACGCUGAGGCUCGAAAGCGUGGGGAGCAAACAGGAUUAGAUACCCUGGUAGUCCACGCCGUAAACGAUGAGUGCUAAGUGUUGGAGGGUUUCCGCCCUUCAGUGCUGCAGCUAACGCAUUAAGCACUCCGCCUGGGGAGUACGACCGCAAGGUUGAAACUCAAAGGAAUUGACGGGGGCCCGCACAAGCGGUGGAGCAUGUGGUUUAAUUCGAAGCAACGCGAAGAACCUUACCAGGUCUUGACAUCCUUUGACCACUCUAGAGAUAGAGCU
Molecule: ribosomal RNA, 931 nt
Filed under: Enterococcus sp. 85_2
Lineage: Bacteria; Bacillati; Bacillota; Bacilli; Lactobacillales; Enterococcaceae
Description: bacterial SSU rRNA
Rfam family: Bacterial small subunit ribosomal RNA
Source: RNAcentral